CCCGUCACACCAUGAGAGUUGGAAAUACCCGAAGCCUGUGAGCUAACUUAAAGAGGCAGCAGUCGAAGGUAGAGCCAAUGAUUGGGGUGAAGUCGUAACAAGGUAAC
RNAcentral lists this ribosomal RNA (107 nucleotides) under uncultured bacterium. RNAcentral describes it as "partial 16S ribosomal RNA". It matches the Rfam family "Bacterial small subunit ribosomal RNA", at positions 1393 to 1500 of the family's 1533-position model. The record is from RNAcentral.